GUUCUAGAAACAUGAUCUCCUUUUUUCUCCCCCACAAGUUUUCUCUUUGGAAAAAGAGAUUUAGUGGAAUUUAGACUUACAAAUUGGACACAUCAAUUUAUGUAUAGCCUCUGCAUCACUUUUUAGCUUUGUCUUUUAACCUUUCAUUUUCAUUCUGUAGCCUUUGUAGAAAUUGCGCCUAUGGAAUCUCCUUCCUGACUCUAAAAAAUAUGGUCCAGGUGCUUUAUGUUUCCAGGAAUGAAAGAGCCUCUGAAUGCUUGGGAGCAUUUGGAGUCAAAAAAAAAAAAAAAAAAAAGGAAUUAUGUUGUUUGGUGACAAGAAAAUAUAAUUUUGUGUGAGCUGUAGUUGACAAUACCACAUAUUAUCUUUAUUGAUUACAGUCAGUUUUGAAGAUAUAAGUACUUUAUGGUCCUUAAUUUGUAGAUUAGAUUUGUUUGUUUAAUAAUUUAGCAUGUUGAAUUUUCCCUUUGAAUUUUUAUUCUUCUGGAAAUCUUUCCAGAGUUCAGGUUUUUUUAAUGCUAGGAUUCAUGUUAGGAUUGUUGGAGUUCUGUUUAUAAACUGAUUUGCAAUAGACUUUCAAUAAAUUAGGAUACCACUUUCUUCUUUUAUUUCCUCACACAGUUUUUGAUAAGCAAGGCUGGAUCAAAAGUAACUUUCCCAUCUAAAGUGAAUUUUCAAAAUGAAGUCUUUUAGAUUACCUGUCACUAUUAUAAAGCUAAUUAGAAAAUUUGAGUUAUUUCAAAAAGCUGUCAAUUUUGACAGCUUGACCUUGAUGACUUUUUUUGUCAUUCUUUCACUGAUACAUGGUGCCAUCUGCUGUUUGUGGGAAGUAGAUUAUAUUUUGAAUCACUAGGCAGAAUAGAUGUAUAAUCUCCAAAAGAAAAAUACAUUGUAGAUGAAAUGGGAAGAUGCAGGAGUAUGACCUGUUCAAAACUUUGAGGCAUGUGAUUUAUUUGCUUAUUUUUUUUAUGUAAAAUCAUUUUCAAAAACUAAUUUAUCAUUUAUUAAGAUGUCAUGUUAAACUGGUAGAAACUUUUUAAAACAAUGGCUUAUUUUAGAGAAUUUGAUCAAUUCAAAGAAGAAAAUUUAAAACUAAUUCUGCUAGCCAUGAGAUAACUAUUAUUAAUCUUAAAAUCAUUUUUAAAAACCUGGUUAUCUCUAAUAUUGCAUGCAUCACAAGAUUUUUACUCGUCUUAAUUUCGUUUUCGUGCUCCUGUAUCUUGGGUUUCCUCUUAGAGUACAAUAUUCUUGGCCCCAAGUGAACCAUCCAUUUGUUGGUUGGUGGAUUAAGGCUCCCUUGGUUUCUUUUUUGUGGGUACUUUGGCCACCUUUUCUGUAAUCCUUCCCCUGGUCAUUGGCAUAGAAGCAGUGUAGGGUAUGGAAUGAGAAAGACCUGGUUUCCAGCCAGGCACUGCUGCUUACAGGCUGUGCAGCCCCAGGCAAAUCUUUUCACUUGGCAGCUCUGUUUCCUCUUCUGUAAAAAGGAGAUAAUAAUAUCCAUCCUGUAGUAUUGCUGUCAGGAUUAGAUGAGGUAAUACUUGUCAUAUGCCAGGCAUAGUCCUCUCUUUUCAUUAAAAUGUGAUUAAGUUCAGGUUCAGUGAAUUUCCUUUUCACCUUUUUUAAAGAUACCUUUGCCAUGAGUCAGAUUUUGUUAUUAUAAAAUCAUAAGCUCUUCCAGUGGAAAGAACUUUAGCAAGUGGGUCUCAUAUUUUAUUAUGCAUUUAUCACCUGGUGAUCCUAUUUAACUGCCAGUUCAGAUUCUGGUUGGUAUUUCUGGGAUAAGAUGCCUGAGACUCUGUACCUCUGACUCACUUUUAGGUGAUGCUAAUACUCCCUCCACACAGUACACUUUGUGUAGCAAGGCUUUAGAUGACAGCAAACAAAAAACAACUGAUAAAGCUCCUGGUUUUCCUUUCACACACUUAAUCUCAUGUACUAUUCAUUAGAGCUUCAUUUCUUGGAGUUCCCUGGUGACCUAGCAGUUAAGGAUCUGGUAUUGUCACUGCUGUUGCGUGGAUUUGAUCCCUGAUCUGAGAAUUUUUGUAUGCCGCGGGUGCAGCAGAAAAAAAAAGGGGGGGAACUGCAUUUCUUUGUAGAAAAAAAUGCACCCAGAGUCUCUCUCCAGAAGACACUGCAGAUUAAUUUCUAAUUUCUUACUCUUAUUCUCAGCAGUAACAUUUAGAGAAUGACAUUCAAGACCUAAUCAUUUAUCACCCGAGAGAUGUAACCUCUAAAUACUUAAUUGGAACCAAUUAACCAAUUCAGAAUUCAAGGACAACUUUUAUUUCUAUUGGUAAUAUGUUACCCAUUUGUAUUGUCUUUAAACUUUUACAGCAUUGAAUAAUGAAAAGCUAAGUAAAUUAGUUCUAAAAUCUCAAUAUAAAUUCUAGAGCAAUUACUUGACUCAAAUAAGAUUUUUUUUGGGGUGCAUUGAAUAUAUAAUGCUUCCCUGUUGGUGUUGGAAUUUUCCCCCACACUGGUUGAUUUUAUUUAAGCCUGAAUACUCAGUGCGUCAGUGUGGAUUCAACUCAAUGCAUCAGGGUAUAGUGUCUGUCCACAUAGUCUAAGAAAGAAUGGCUUUGAUUUUACCCAGACAUAAACUUGUUCACACCUGAGGGUUUAUCCAUCCCAGUCACAGUUUCAGGGUCCUAAAGGAAAUUAAAACAGGUGUAAAAUAAAUUCUGCUUUGGGACAUAUAAAUUUGAUUUAAAAAGUAAAAAUUAUUGCCUAGAGAAUAACUUAGUGGGCAGAACCUUUUUUCUAAAUUCAAUCUUAAGUGGAAGAACAACAUUGCCCUUUUUGCCUACCUCCCUUGAAGUGGCCUUAAGAACAUCCUACUUUAAAAAAAAAAAAAAAAAA
Molecule: long non-coding RNA, 2859 nt
Filed under: Sus scrofa (pig)
Lineage: Eukaryota; Metazoa; Chordata; Mammalia; Artiodactyla; Suidae
Description: lncRNA (ENSSSCG00040005290.1)
Source: RNAcentral